AGACUGGGAUAACUUCGGGAAACCGGAGCUAAUACCGGAUAACAUUUAGAACCGCAUGGUUCUAAAGUGAAAGAUGGUUUUGCUAUCACUUAUAGAUGGACCCGCGCCGUAUUAGCUAGUUGGUAAGGUAACGGCUUACCAAGGCGACGAUACGUAGCCGACCUGAGAGGGUGAUCGGCCACACUGGAACUGAGACACGGUCCAGACUCCUACGGGAGGCAGCAGUAGGGAAUCUUCCGCAAUGGGCGAAAGCCUGACGGAGCAACGCCGCGUGAGUGAUGAAGGGUUUCGGCCCGUAAAACUCUGUUAUUAGGGAAGAACAAAUGUGUAAGUAACUGUGCACAUCUUGACGGUACCUAAUCAGAAAGCCACGGCUAACUACGUGCCAGCAGCCGCGGUAAUACGUAGGUGGCAAGCGUUAUCCGGAAUUAUUGGGCGUAAAGCGCGCGUAGGCGGUUUCUUAAGUCUGAUGUGAAAGCCCACGGCUCAACCGUGGAGGGUCAUUGGAAACUGGGAAACUUGAGUACAGAAGAGGAAAGUGGAAUUCCAUGUGUAGCGGUGAAAUGCGCAGAGAUAUGGAGGAACACCAGUGGCGAAGGCGACUUUCUGGUCUGUAACUGACGCUGAUGUGCGAAAGCGUGGGGAUCAAACAGGAUUAGAUACCCUGGUAGUCCACGCCGUAAACGAUGAGUGCUAAGUGUUAGGGGGUUUCCGCCCCUUAGUGCUGCAGCUAACGCAUUAAGCACUCCGCCUGGGGAGUACGACCGCAAGGUUGAAACUC
Molecule: ribosomal RNA, 781 nt
Filed under: uncultured Staphylococcus sp.
Lineage: Bacteria; Bacillati; Bacillota; Bacilli; Caryophanales; Staphylococcaceae
Description: bacterial SSU rRNA
Rfam family: Bacterial small subunit ribosomal RNA
Source: RNAcentral